CUGUCACAAAGGUGGGUGAAGCCAGUGACGGACGAUUGCUAAUUCUUCUGUGUCAACGAUCUUCUCCAUCUUUGCAG
Molecule: microRNA precursor, 77 nt
Filed under: Mus spretus (western wild mouse)
Lineage: Eukaryota; Metazoa; Chordata; Mammalia; Rodentia; Muridae
Description: microRNA 6994 (ENSMSPG00010050883.1)
Source: RNAcentral